RNAcentral lists this unclassified non-coding RNA (172 nucleotides) under soil metagenome. Its description in RNAcentral is "partial contains 5.8S ribosomal RNA, internal transcribed spacer 2, and large subunit ribosomal RNA". The record is from RNAcentral.
AACCAUAGAAACCUGCGGAGUACCUGCGGAAGGAUCAUUAAAGAUUGACCGAAAGGUCUUAUCUCUAUAUCCCUCACCUCUGUGAACUGUGGACCUCCGGGUCUAUUUAACAAACAUCAGUGUAAUGAACGUAUAUAUCAUUAAACAAAACAAAACUUUUAACAACGGAUCU